AACAAAUUUAAGACGAGUCUUCUAAACUUGUUUAAGGUUAAAACCUGUUUGUUU
This 54-nucleotide transfer RNA is filed under the name Parastrongyloides trichosuri. Its description in RNAcentral is "tRNA-Ser". The record is from RNAcentral. Lineage: Eukaryota; Metazoa; Nematoda; Chromadorea; Rhabditida; Strongyloididae.